This 1500-nucleotide ribosomal RNA is filed under the name Klebsiella variicola. Its description in RNAcentral is "bacterial SSU rRNA". It matches the Rfam family "Bacterial small subunit ribosomal RNA". Lineage: Bacteria; Pseudomonadati; Pseudomonadota; Gammaproteobacteria; Enterobacterales; Enterobacteriaceae. The record is from RNAcentral.
GAGUUUGAUCCUGGCUCAGAUUGAACGCUGGCGGCAGGCCUAACACAUGCAAGUCGAGCGGUAGCACAGAGAGCUUGCUCUCGGGUGACGAGCGGCGGACGGGUGAGUAAUGUCUGGGAAACUGCCUGAUGGAGGGGGAUAACUACUGGAAACGGUAGCUAAUACCGCAUAACGUCGCAAGACCAAAGUGGGGGACCUUCGGGCCUCAUGCCAUCAGAUGUGCCCAGAUGGGAUUAGCURGUAGGUGGGGUAACGGCUCACCUAGGCGACGAUCCCUAGCUGGUCUGAGAGGAUGACCAGCCACACUGGAACUGAGACACGGUCCAGACUCCUACGGGAGGCAGCAGUGGGGAAUAUUGCACAAUGGGCGCAAGCCUGAUGCAGCCAUGCCGCGUGUGUGAAGAAGGCCUUCGGGUUGUAAAGCACUUUCAGCGGGGAGGAAGGCGGURAGGUUAAUAACCUYAUCGAUUGACGUUACCCGCAGAAGAAGCACCGGCUAACUCCGUGCCAGCAGCCGCGGUAAUACGGAGGGUGCAAGCGUUAAUCGGAAUUACUGGGCGUAAAGCGCACGCAGGCGGUCUGUCAAGUCGGAUGUGAAAUCCCCGGGCUCAACCUGGGAACUGCAUUCGAAACUGGCAGGCUAGAGUCUUGUAGAGGGGGGUAGAAUUCCAGGUGUAGCGGUGAAAUGCGUAGAGAUCUGGAGGAAUACCGGUGGCGAAGGCGGCCCCCUGGACAAAGACUGACGCUCAGGUGCGAAAGCGUGGGGAGCAAACAGGAUUAGAUACCCUGGUAGUCCACGCUGUAAACGAUGUCGAUUUGGAGGUUGUGCCCUUGAGGCGUGGCUUCCGGAGCUAACGCGUUAAAUCGACCGCCUGGGGAGUACGGCCGCAAGGUUAAAACUCAAAUGAAUUGACGGGGGCCCGCACAAGCGGUGGAGCAUGUGGUUUAAUUCGAUGCAACGCGAAGAACCUUACCUGGUCUUGACAUCCACAGAACUUUCCAGAGAUGGAUUGGUGCCUUCGGGAACUGUGAGACAGGUGCUGCAUGGCUGUCGUCAGCUCGUGUUGUGAAAUGUUGGGUUAAGUCCCGCAACGAGCGCAACCCUUAUCCUUUGUUGCCAGCGGUYMGGCCGGGAACUCAAAGGAGACUGCCAGUGAUAAACUGGAGGAAGGUGGGGAUGACGUCAAGUCAUCAUGGCCCUUACGACCAGGGCUACACACGUGCUACAAUGGCAUAUACAAAGAGAAGCGACCUCGCGAGAGCAAGCGGACCUCAUAAAGUAUGUCGUAGUCCGGAUUGGAGUCUGCAACUCGACUCCAUGAAGUCGGAAUCGCUAGUAAUCGUAGAUCAGAAUGCUACGGUGAAUACGUUCCCGGGCCUUGUACACACCGCCCGUCACACCAUGGGAGUGGGUUGCAAAAGAAGUAGGUAGCUUAACCUUCGGGAGGGCGCUUACCACUUUGUGAUUCAUGACUGGGGUGAAGUCGUAACAAGGUAGCC